UACACAGGGUGCGAGCGUUGUCCGGAAUCACUGGGCGUAAAGGGCGCGUAGGUGGCUGGGUAAGUGUGCGGUGAAAGCCCGGGGCUCAACCCCGGGUCGGCCGUGCAGACUGCUUGGCUUGAGCAUAGUAGAGGCAGGUGGAAUUCCGGGUGUAGCGGUGGAAUGCGUAGAGAUCCGGAAGAACACCGGUGGCGAAGGCGGCCUGCUGGGCUAUUGCUGACACUGAGGCGCGACAGCGUGGGGAGCAAACAGG
RNAcentral lists this ribosomal RNA (253 nucleotides) under uncultured bacterium. Its description in RNAcentral is "partial 16S ribosomal RNA". It matches the Rfam family "Bacterial small subunit ribosomal RNA", at positions 524 to 776 of the family's 1533-position model. The record is from RNAcentral.